This 1343-nucleotide ribosomal RNA is filed under the name uncultured bacterium. RNAcentral's name for it is "16S ribosomal RNA". It matches the Rfam family "Bacterial small subunit ribosomal RNA", at positions 28 to 1378 of the family's 1533-position model. The record is from RNAcentral.
GACGAACGCUUUCGGCGUGCUUAACACAUGCAAGUCGAACGGAAAGGCCCUGCUUUUGUGGGGUGCUCGAGUGGCGAACGGGUGAGUAACACGUGAGUAACCUGCCCUUGACUUUGGGAUAACUUCAGGAAACUGGGGCUAAUACCGGAUAGGAGCUCCUGCUGCAUGGUGGGGGUUGGAAAGUUUCGGCGGUUGGGGAUGGACUCGCGGCUUAUCAGCUUGUUGGUGGGGUAGUGGCUUACCAAGGCUUUGACGGGUAGCCGGCCUGAGAGGGUGACCGGCCACAUUGGGACUGAGAUACGGCCCAGACUCCUACGGGAGGCAGCAGUGGGGAAUAUUGCACAAUGGGCGGAAGCCUGAUGCAGCAACGCCGCGUGCGGGAUGACGGCCUUCGGGUUGUAAACCGCUUUCGCCUGUGACGAAGCGUGAGUGACGGUAAUGGGUAAAGAAGCACCGGCUAACUACGUGCCAGCAGCCGCGGUGAUACGUAGGGUGCGAGCGUUGUCCGGAUUUAUUGGGCGUAAAGGGCUCGUAGGUGGUUGAUCGCGUCGGAAGUGUAAUCUUGGGGCUUAACCCUGAGCGUGCUUUCGAUACGGGUUGACUUGAGGAAGGUAGGGGAGAAUGGAAUUCCUGGUGGAGCGGUGGAAUGCGCAGAUAUCAGGAGGAACACCAGUGGCGAAGGCGGUUCUCUGGGCCUUUCCUGACGCUGAGGAGCGAAAGCGUGGGGAGCGAACAGGCUUAGAUACCCUGGUAGUCCACGCUGUAAACGGUGGGUACUAGGUGUGGGGUCCAUUCCACGGGUUCCGUGCCGUAGCUAACGCUUUAAGUACCCCGCCUGGGGAGUACGGCCGCAAGGCUAAAACUCAAAGGAAUUGACGGGGCCCCGCACAAGCGGCGGAGCAUGCGGAUUAAUUCGAUGCAACGCGUAGAACCUUACCUGGGUUUGACAUGGAUCGGGAGUGCUCAGAGAUGGGUGUGCCUCUUUUGGGGUCGGUUCACAGGUGGUGCAUGCCUGUCGUCAGCUCGUGUCGUGAGAUGUUGGGUUAAGUCCCGCAACGAGCGCAACCCUUGUUCACUGUUGCCAGCACGUUAUGGUGGGGACUCAGUGGAGACCGCCGGGGUCAACUCGGAGGAAGGUGGGGAUGACGUCAAGUCCUCAUGCCCCUUAUGUCCAGGGCUUCACGCAUGCUACAAUGGCUGGUACAGAGAGUGGCGAGCCUGUGAGGGUGAGCGAAUCUCGGAAAGCCGGUCUCAGUUCGGAUUGGGGCCUGCAACUCGACCUCAUGAAGUCGGAGUCGCUAGUAAUCGCAGAUCAGCAACGCUGCGGUGAAUACGUUCCCGGG